GGACGAAUGGUGUAACGACUUCCUCACUGUCUCCAACAUAGUUUCAGUGAAAUUGAAUUCUCCGUGAAGAUGCGGAGUACCCGCGGUUAGACGGAAAGACCCCGUGCACCUUUACUGCAGCUUCAGAGUGGCAUUAGGAAAGAACUGUGUAGCAUAGGUGGGAGGCUUUGAAGCGUUGGCGCCAGCUGACGUGGAGCCAUAGGUGAAAUACCACCCUGUUGUUUUCUGAUGUCUAACCUCGAUCCAUGAAACUGGAUCAGGGACCCUCUGUGGCGGGUAGUUUGACUGGGGCGGUCGCCUCCUAAAGAGUAACGGAGGCGCGCGAUGGUAGGCUCAGGACGGUUGGAAACCGUCUGCGAGAGUGCAAUGGCAUAAGCCUGCCUGACUGCGAGACUGACGAGUCGAGCAGAGACGAAAGUCGGUCAUAGUGAUCCGGUGGUCCCGAGUGGAAGGGCCAUCGCUCAACGGAUAAAAGGUAC
Molecule: ribosomal RNA, 479 nt
Filed under: Gloeochaete wittrockiana
Lineage: Eukaryota; Glaucocystophyceae; Gloeochaetales; Gloeochaetaceae
Description: partial Bacterial large subunit ribosomal RNA
Rfam family: Bacterial large subunit ribosomal RNA
Source: RNAcentral